RNAcentral lists this long non-coding RNA (270 nucleotides) under Vigna radiata. RNAcentral describes it as "long non-coding RNA (VRAD_LNC008283)". Lineage: Eukaryota; Viridiplantae; Streptophyta; Magnoliopsida; Fabales; Fabaceae. The record is from RNAcentral.
CCAAGGACAAGGGAGGAUAAAUAUGGAUGAGAAGUUACAAACCAAACGAAAUAGAGGAGCAAUGGGGAACAAGUAUAUACACAGUCAAAUCACACCCAAAACCUCUAAUUCAAUCCUCUUCUUGACUCCAAUAUUCACACUUUUUUUUUUGUAUUUUUCUUUUUUUGUAUUUUUUUCUCUUUUUUUUUCAUCUUGUCUCUUUUCUUUUCUCUUUAUCUAGGACACAACUCUAGGAGAAAAGAUACACACAUAUUUACAAAACAAAAGCAA